AUUGAACGCUGGCGGCAGGCCUAACACAUGCAAGUCGAGCGGAGCGGCGGACGGGCGAGUAAUGCCUAGGAAUCUGCCUGGUAGUGGGGGAUAACGUCCGGAAACGGGCGCUAAUACCGCAUACUAUCAGAUGAGCCUAGGUCGGAUUAGCUAGUUGGUGGGGUAAAGGCCUACCAAGGCGACGCUCCGUAACUGGUCUGAGAGGAUGAUCAGUCACACUGGAACGGAGAUGCGGUCCAGACUCCUACGGGAGGCAGCAGUGGAGAAAAUUAGAUAAGGGGCUAAGGGCUGAUCCAACCAUGCCGCGUGGGGGAAAGAGGUCAUCGGAUAGGAGUGCUCUUUAAGUUGGGAAGCGUUAUCAACAGAAUAAGGACCGGCUAACUUCGUGCCAGCAGCCGCGGUAAUAC
RNAcentral lists this ribosomal RNA (407 nucleotides) under uncultured bacterium. Its description in RNAcentral is "partial 16S ribosomal RNA". It matches the Rfam family "Bacterial small subunit ribosomal RNA", at positions 30 to 526 of the family's 1533-position model. The record is from RNAcentral.